This 901-nucleotide long non-coding RNA is filed under the name Felis catus (domestic cat). RNAcentral describes it as "lncRNA (ENSFCAG00000051287.1)". Lineage: Eukaryota; Metazoa; Chordata; Mammalia; Carnivora; Felidae. The record is from RNAcentral.
UGUCCACUUGUCCUGUUUAGCUCACAAAGGGGCAGAGCAAGGGGGCUGCGGUUCUGAGCGACAGACGCACAGUGUGGGUCCCGCUGGGCAGCCCCCCACCCGGGUCCAGCCUGGCUCAGCCCAGCCCGGCCGUGUGAUAUGGGGCAGGGUGCGCUGUCCGAACAGGAGAUACCUCUGUGAUGUCUCCUGAUUUCAACAUGAGGCACUUGGGAGUCACAGAACUGUUUCAGUCGGUGAAAUCGGGUCGCCUCCCUCCAGGCCAGCCAUUUGCCCCCUCCCCCAGGCUCUUUUGGCUUCAUGGCAACCGAAUGGGGGUAGAAUGAGCAGAUCAGGGGCCUCCGCAGGCACGGCACCCCCGACCCCUGGGUCAGAGGGACCUAGAGAGUAUCCAGCCCGAUAAAGGAGCCCUGUGCAGAAUCAUCAGUAAUGGUUAAGACUUCCGGCUAAGCAGUGCCCUCCUCCUGAGUGUCUGACGUCAGCUCUCAAGUGCUCCUGCGAAUUGAGAUGAAAAAGAAUGAUCUUGAAGACUCUGGAGGACCCUUAGGCAGUUCAUGAAGCCCGAGGCCUGUUGUUAACACUGUGACCAUCUCCAGUGAACUCCUGGCUGGGCCCUGCUGACACUCUCUGCCUCCUUUUCACUGCUUUGUCCGGGAGCCUCUCCAGUUCUGACUCUGGGCCCUUCACCCCCUUUCUGCCAGCAGAGGUGGUCCCAUCAUCAUCCCAAGGCCCGGCUGGGGCUGGAUGGGCUGGCCUUCCACGGUGGCCCAGACUGCUGCUCCUCGUGAUCUCAGGUGAUUGUCCCCCCAUAAACGUGAUGGAUGGCUCCUUACCAGACUGUAAAUCCCAAAGUAAGCAGUUUGAACUCACCUGCAAAUCAGCUCUUCUCUGUCCUGCCCCCUGA